RNAcentral lists this ribosomal RNA (274 nucleotides) under uncultured bacterium. RNAcentral describes it as "partial 16S ribosomal RNA". It matches the Rfam family "Bacterial small subunit ribosomal RNA", at positions 523 to 796 of the family's 1533-position model. The record is from RNAcentral.
AUACGAAAGGUGCAAGCGUUGUGCGGAUUUACUGGGCGUAAAGAGAUCGUAGGUGGUUUGUUAAGUUGGAUGUGAAAUCCCGGGGCUCAACCUCGGAACUGCAUCCAAAACUGGCAGACUUGAGUUCGGGAGGGGUAAGCGGAAUUCCGUGUGUAGCAGUGAAAUGCGUAGAUAUACGGAGGAACACCUGAGGCGAAGGCGGCUUACUGGACCGAUACUGACACUGAGGAUCGAAAGCGUGGGUAGCAAACAGGAUUAGAAACCCCAGUAGUCC